RNAcentral lists this ribosomal RNA (631 nucleotides) under Pseudohoplitis vernalis. RNAcentral's name for it is "eukaryotic LSU rRNA". It matches the Rfam family "Eukaryotic large subunit ribosomal RNA", at positions 386 to 796 of the family's 3401-position model. Lineage: Eukaryota; Metazoa; Arthropoda; Insecta; Lepidoptera; Notodontidae. The record is from RNAcentral.
GGGGUAAACCUGCGAAACUCGAAUGAACGAACGGAGAGAUUCAUCGUCAUUCCGCGGCGUACGAUGACGCGUUUCGAUGUCUCUGACCUCGGUCGGUGGGCACGUCGUGUUAUCGUCGACGUCCGUGGACGGCGUGCACUUCUCUCUCAGUAAACAUGCAUCGCGACCCGUUCGAUGUCGGUCUAAGCGCUGUUCGGGAGCCCCGCUGUCACCCUUCACGGGGUGGCGACGGGACCGUGAUGGACGCCGACCGGCCGUCGGACGGUAUAAUAUAUGAAACGCGCACGCGUUUUACGCGUCCGGCCCGACGCAAGUCAACGUCGUAUCCGACGUUCCGCCCGAGUGCGGACGUAGGUGCGGCGCGUCUGCUGUCGCUGCCGUGCAGUCUCGGACUGUGUGCGUCUCCGUCUGCGAUGAUUCAGUUUCGGGCACUCGCAGGACCCGUCUUGAAACACGGACCAAGGAGUCUAGCAUGUAUGCGAGUCAUUGAGAUUAUUGAAUAAACUGAAAGGCGUAACGAAAGUGAAGGCGUGCGCUUGUCGCGCGCUCAGGGAGGAUGGAGCGUCGAUUCAGGUCGAUCUCUCGCACUCCCGAGGCGUCUCGUUUCCAAUCCGUGAAUGCAGGCGCGCUC